CAGUAGCCGCGGGAAUACGUAGGUGGCAAGCGUUAUCCGGAAUUAUUGGGCGUAAAGCGCGCGUAGGCGGUUUUUUAAGUCUGAUGUGAAAGCCCGCGGCUCAACCGUGGAGGGUCAUUGGAAACUGGAAAACUUGAGUGCAGAAGAGGAAAGUGGAAUUCCAUGUGUAGCGGUGAAAUGCGCAGAUAUAUGGAGGAACACCGGUGGCGAAAGCGGCUCUCUGGCUUGUAACUGACGCUGAGGCUCGAAAGCGUGGGGCGCAAACAGGAUUAGAUACCCCGGUAGUCCCUGUCUCUUAUAU
This 301-nucleotide ribosomal RNA is filed under the name uncultured bacterium. RNAcentral describes it as "partial 16S ribosomal RNA". It matches the Rfam family "Bacterial small subunit ribosomal RNA", at positions 509 to 809 of the family's 1533-position model. The record is from RNAcentral.